GGAAGAAAAUUCUGAGGUCAAAUAAGGCGGAAGUAAUAAAAGAAACCAUCCUCUACCAAAUCAAAUCACGUUUUAAGAAAAGUAGUGCAAUUUUAAGGACAAUAUUGACUUUUCACCCAAUCAAAAUACAUUUAUUAUAAUUAUUAUUUAUGGGACCAAGCUUAUGAUAAACAAAUACAUUCAGAGUCGUGCUGUGGUCCAAUAACAAAAGGGAUUAUUCUACGAUUAUUAUCCUACAAGUUUUUCCAACUCAGCCAGCUACUGAUAUAGAUACCCCUGGAAAGCCUGAGGACCUCUUUGAUAUCUCCGAAUAUAAUAAAUAAAUAAAAUAAGCUGAUAAACCUAAGGUGUCGAAAAUCUAAUUUAUCAGAUUAUAUAAUGAAUUGUGCGGACUAUAAUGCGUCUCAUCUAGCUGUAAAAUUAUUAUCUGAG
RNAcentral lists this unclassified non-coding RNA (432 nucleotides) under Hevea brasiliensis (rubber tree). Lineage: Eukaryota; Viridiplantae; Streptophyta; Magnoliopsida; Malpighiales; Euphorbiaceae. The record is from RNAcentral.